RNAcentral lists this ribosomal RNA (636 nucleotides) under uncultured bacterium. RNAcentral's name for it is "bacterial SSU rRNA". It matches the Rfam family "Bacterial small subunit ribosomal RNA", at positions 37 to 662 of the family's 1533-position model. The record is from RNAcentral.
GGGCGGCAUGGCUUACACAUGCAGUCGAGCGGCAGCGCGGGGGCACCCUUAGGGCGGGAGCGGCGAACGGGUGAGUAUACAUCGGAACGUGUCCCGUAGUGGGGGAUAACGCCGGGAAAACCGGGCGUAAUACCGAUAUGCUCUACGGAGGAAAGUGGGGGACCUGCAAGGGCCUCACGCUAUGGGAGCGGCCGAUGUCCGAUUAGCUUGUUGGUGAGGUAAAGGCUUACCAAGGGACGAAUCGGUAGCUGGUCUGAGAGGAUGAUCAGCCACACUGGGACUGGAGACACGGGCCAAAUCCUACAGGGAGGCAGCAGUGGGGAAUUUUGGACCAAUUGGGGGCAACCCCUGAUCCAAGCAUUGCCGGGUUGAUUUAAAAGGGCCUUCCGGGUUUGUAAAGCUCUUUUGGCCGGGAAGAAAAGGUGCCCUUGAAUACGGGGUGCUGUUGACGGUACCUGGCAGAAUAAGCACCGGCUAACUACGUGCCAGCAGCCGCGGUAAUACGUAGGGUGCGAGCGUUAUCGGAAUUACUGGGCGUAAAGCGUGCGCAGGCGGUUCGUUAUGUCCGUUGUGAAAGCCCCGGGUCAACUGGGAAUGGAAUGGAAACUUGGGAGCUAAGUGUGGCAAGGGGGGUGG